This 492-nucleotide ribosomal RNA is filed under the name uncultured bacterium. RNAcentral's name for it is "partial 16S ribosomal RNA". It matches the Rfam family "Bacterial small subunit ribosomal RNA", at positions 29 to 507 of the family's 1533-position model. The record is from RNAcentral.
AGUGAACGCUGGCGGUAGGCCUAACACAUGCAAGUCGAACGGCAGCACAGUAAGAGCUUGCUCUUACGGGUGGCGAGUGGCGGACGGGUGAGGAAUACAUCGGGAUCUACUUUUUCGUGGGGGAUAACGUAGGGAAACUUACGCUAAUACCGCAUACGACCUACGGGUGAAAGCAGGGGAUCUUCGGACCUUGCGCGAUUGAAUGAGCCGAUGUCGGAUUAGCUAGUUGGCGGGGUAAAGGCCCACCAAGGCGACGAUCCGUAGCUGGUCUGAGAGGAUGAUCAGCCACACGGGAACUGAGACACGGUCCAGACUCCUACGGGAGGCAGCAGUGGGGAAUAUUGGACAAUGGGCGCAAGCCUGAUCCAGCCAUACCGCGUGGGUGAAGAAGGCCUUCGGGUUGUAAAGCCCUUUUGUUGGGAAAGAAAAGCAGCAGGUUAAUACCCCGCUGUUCUGACGGUACCCAAAGAAUAAGCACCGGCUAACUUCGUG